Molecule: ribosomal RNA, 315 nt
Filed under: Triticum aestivum (bread wheat)
Lineage: Eukaryota; Viridiplantae; Streptophyta; Magnoliopsida; Poales; Poaceae
Description: partial small subunit ribosomal RNA
Source: RNAcentral
AUGGUCAUUGAUAGCCAUGCUAGAAUCAACUUGGUUUAUAAUAGGUUCAUCAACUUUAUGUUUCGCCACCGUGCAAUGUACUCUCUCUUUCUCUCACUGAUUCUAUCUAGAGAGCAGUCUAUCGAUAAUCUUCAAGGCCAGCACUGCCACAUGUUUCAUGUUCUCGGUGUACAAUAUAUUACUUGGUCAUGUGACUUGCCUAUGCAAGAUUUAAUUAUUACUAGGUUUAAUAUGGUUGCUGCCAUGCGCAAGUCAGCAUUUACUGAUCUAGUUCCAUAUUCCGAGGAGAAGGGCUUAAAUGAUGUAUGUGAAUAA